UCCUGCAGCCAUGAGCGCUGCCUGCGCAGGGCAGGGACGCAGGAGGGUGGCACAGGGCAUGGAUCUCAUGGAGCUUUCUGCUUUUUUCCCCGCUUCUCAGUGCGUGUUCAAGAGUGGGAGCAUGGGAGGAAGGCGAGCGCUGCUGCGCAUCGAGGAUCAGUGCUACUAUCAACCAUUUGGUCAUGGGAGAAGAGAAAAUACGUGAAAGGAAAAAGCCAGAACACAGGAGCAGUUCUGCUGAACCACUCACUGAGGAAACUGGAACACCUCUUACCAUGCUGAUUCUGUUGGCGAUGCUGAAGUGAGAUGCUACCAACAAAGAUGAAUUCCUACAGCUGAGCACAACCUGUACUUACCUGUCCCACCUCCUGCAGCACGGAUUUUGGCUCUGAUGGCAGCAGGAGGUGACCUGGGGGGCAGGGCAGUGGAGAGCCCUUCCCUGCAUCACUGCUGAAGAACGCCAGCAGCACUUCUGUGUGCUGAGCAUGGCUCGUCUCCAGCACUGACAAACACCAGGCCAUUACCAGCCGUCCUGUCGCUGACAUGGCAGGCACUUCUUCAUUCUUUAAGGUGUGGAUUUCUGCCUAGACCUGCUGUACCUGUUCAGGUGCUGAAGUGCCAUUAUCUAAUGAUAUACCACGGGCUGUUUGCAGCGUUUUAUUUGUUUUUGCUUUAAUUUGAAGUUAUGGAGAGCUGCCCUUUGAACUGUCCUCACCCUCCUGUCGAUUUGUGCAUUGAAGGGAAUUUCAGCUCUGGGCCACAUGGCACCAAGAGAACACCUGCAAUUAAUAACACUGCAUUCAGAAACCUGCACAGAGCAACAAGCACUUGGAUGGCUCGUGUUCUAACCCCCCACCUUCCACAGGAUGCAAUGAAAAUUACUGUGAAUGCCUCACUAGUGGCUGCAACAUGCGCUAAACCAACCGGCUGCUGGCAGGUGCUCUUCCUUGCUCUGAACAUUGUGUGAAAAUGCUAAUAACCCCACCUAUUCUUCAGAGCAAAACCUCACUCACUCACACUCUUACUCAAUUGCCUCCAUGGCAACUGCACACAAGUGGGCACAGCUCACAGGUGCUUCCCAGUGCAGUGCCAGAUAGCCAGCAGCACUGGCACAAGUGGGAGCAUUUGCAUUUAGCCGUGUGCUGCAUCCCACUACACUGACAGCUGCUAUUUGCUCAAGCUGUUUUCCUUCAUGAGGGUUCCCCUGUUGCAGAUUGAUGAAUUGGAAGCCUUUUCUUCAAUGACAUUCAAGUUAAAUUCCUCUUUAGCAUCAGUCCAUCACAAGGAAGCACCAAAUGCUGCCCCACACAGCUCUCACAGUGAAACCUACCAGUGAAACUUUGUCCUGAGCAAUGGAGAGAUGGUUUCCAGAUGCACAACCAGUAACUGAAUCACCAUUUGCCACUCAAGUUUUGUUACAGGGUUACCGAUCAGCUAUCAAAGGGCCUUACUUCCUGAGAAACAACUCCAGCAGUCUGCAGGUACAGAGAAAACUGUAUCCGAACAGUUCAGAAAUGUUUGCUACCCCUAAAAAUGAUGUUUCAGAACACCUUGUAAUAAAUCAAAAAACCUUUAUUUUUAAGUUAUAUUAUAAAUUUACAGCACACACAACAUCAGUGUCUUUAGUGUGUAUGUGUGAGCAGGCUUAAAGACUCAGCAUUCAUUCCAGUCUUGCUCAUGGGUAUGACUUCUCCACCUGCUAAAGGUACGUAACUGUUCCAAUCUGAACAGGUCUGGCUCAGCUCAAGACCUCAAUAACCUCUAGGAAAACACUUCAGUGGACAACAGCAAACGUUAAGAAGAAAAACAAGUCAGUAGCACUUCUUCCUUGCUGUCUGAAGGGCUCCGUGUUGGAGCGAAGCCGGGCUCCCCAGGCAGGGAGAAGUCAGUGACCCACAUCAGUGUGGCCAGAAUGAACCCUGAAUUCCACAGGCUCAGUGAUGUCCGCCCUAGUUAAGCUUCAUAAAAGUAAUGUUACAUCUUGGAAACAGCUGUGCAUGCCACACACCAGUGUCAGCUUCAUAUAAAAAUUAUCAUAUGCCAUACCUCAUGAUUUUAUACACAGGUGAAAUCGCGAUACAAUUUUACUGGUGCUACUUUGUGGUAAGUGCUGAAUGGCAAAUCACAUUCUUGUACAGGUUGUUAAAUUACAAUACAAAUCUGCAAGUUAAAGAUCUCUACAGGCCUCUGUUAUCCACUGCAAAGACACUUUGUUCUGUGGGGCUUCAUUUAAAACAUGAUUCCAUUUUUUCCCUCUCCCCAGAACACGAUAUAAAAUUAUACCUAAAUCCAGAAAUCAUUUAAUGCAUCUGUAUUUAUUGAAGUUCACAUGCUGCAAACAGGAUCUGCAUUGAAGAUCUUUAAAUCUAGGAAAAAAGGCCCUUCAAACCCCCUUUCGUUAUCAGGAUGCAGGUGGGAACGACUGCCAUGAGAACACAUUCACACAGGCACCAUGUGCACUGCUUGCUCCUUCCUCUGCAGCACUGGGGCUGCCAUCCUGGCCAAGCUCACUGACUGCCCUAAUUCUGACAGCAAACCAAUUGUCCCAGAGGAGAGGACACAGUCAGUGGUCUGCUCAUGCCUUAAAGCAUGAUGACUUACAACUGGAUGGAAAGAUCCAGCUCCAAGUGCUGCUAUUCUGCCAGUUAAUAAAAACGCUACUUACUGCAAGUAGAAAAAUGGGGGAGAACUUUGGAAACACUCACUGUACUUCAAGAAAAUUGCUGCUGAAGUCACUGGGAACCUCCUUAUCCCCCCUACAGGCAACGCUUGCUGACAGUGUUACAAUACAUUCCUUUGGUGCAAUGCUUAUUCAAACAACUUGCAAAAUAUAUUCGAGGUCCUCAGUGCGUGAAUCACAAUGUCCAAAACCUAACAGUCUCAAGUACAAAGGAUUCCUAUCACCACCCAAACGUCUUGGAUAUGAACAUCAGUUUUCAAAAGACAAGUUGGUUCCAGGAGAGGGAGGAGAGAAAUGGGGGUCAAGGUUCUGGGACACAUGUGGGACAGGCUGGGAGCAGCCCAAAGCAGCAAUUAGCAGCAGCUUUCACAGCUCUUGCAGGAGCGAACCUUGCACUUUCCCAGAAGAGCAGGAAUGCAGUGAUGACUGCUUUGGAAACAGCACAAGUUUAUUCUCCAGCUGCACGGAGAACAGAGGUGUCCUUGAAAUGAUGGUAAAGAUCAGCAAACCGUGCAAGGAUGAUCUGGUGUGGCCAUUUCCAUACAGUGAUGCAGCAAUCUUAAAGGAAGACUCACGCCACUGCUCACACUGAGAAAAGAAUGGCAUUUUCUUUGGACUGUUCCUAGAGGUUUACAGGAGCAUUACGCUAUCUCAGGCUCACAGAUCACAACUGACCAAGGUCCAAGCUGCAAAGUGGCCACUGGCAUUUUUUCCAAGUACAUCCCUUUAAGUGCACCCCCAUCGAGGAUAAACACGAAGCCCUGAGAACAAACUUCCACACAAUACAUUUCUAUUAAAAAUAUCAGUGUUUUGAUGACAAAAUUAUAAAUUAUAUCUAUUUAAAUAAAUAGCUACCUAGCUUUCAAGAGUCGUGUAAUAUCAAAAGGCAGAAGAUUGUCUUGAUCAAUGGAUAGGGGAAAGAGCUAGGAGAGUUGUAAGGAAAAGACACUGCAUUGCAGGAACCACCUACCGUUCCAUUUCCUUAUUUCUCCUUGAUUUCACAGGCUUCCAAUCGUUCCUUUGGCUGUUAUGUGACACUUACACAUGGCAUAUCUUCACUAGUUACAACGUGAACACCAGAGAUGCAAGCACAGGACCUGAACCUGUAAAUCCUUACUCCCACGAGUAGUUCUUCAUGAAAUUAACUUAUUUAUUAGAACAAAAACUUCUAUUCCAAUAUGCUUAGGGACCUCUCGCUUACAGAGCAGAUCCAUCAGCCUCUUAUCCUUUAGCCACAGAACAGGCAGGUUUGUGCCCAGGAAGCACUCUUGAUACAGAGACUCCUCUGGCCUGGAGAUCUGCCUCCACACACUCUAACUAACAAGCAGUGAUCAAGAUUUUUGCAGAUUUUGUAAAAAUUGGGACAAAUCAAUGCUUCUACAAGCAUAAUCAACUUGCAGCCAUCCUCCCACUGGUAACUCAUCAAGCAGCAAUACACCCAGUUGUCACAGGGACACACAGCUCCUCAAGCCUGCUGCCAAUUCAUACCCACAGAACAAUGCUGGUGUCUUGAUUAGCUCCUCAAAGGGUUUGUUCAACCUUAAGGGCAGUUUUGGCUUCCUUUAGUUCAACUCUUAAGCCUUGCUGCAAACCUCACACCUCCUAAGUCCUGGCCUCUUUCAGAGACUGGCCACUGGACCCCUCCAACCCCUCCAACAUUUCAGCUGCACAAGCUUUGAGCUCUGAAAUAAGCAAAGCCAGAAACAACCACAGAUUCUCAAGCCUUCACGCAUUUUAAAGAUGCAGUAUUCCUUUAUCCACACAGUUUCUAACUGCUGCUACAGCACCAGGUGAUGUUGUUGAACCCUGGCAUCCUUACCUUCACCUAUUACACGUGCAUUCCUUGUUUUACUCAUACUCUCUUCCUUAUAAGCCAGCAAUGGCUCUGACUCUGUUCUGGCAUACCAAGGGAGGCAACUCUGAUAACUUCUACCACUCCUACCAAACUGACACAGAGAACAAGCUCAACAGCAGAUCCUGGCAGUGCUGCACUCUGCAGAAAUGCACGAGUAGCAGAAUCUUCACGCUUAGGAGGAGCCACUCUGCUCCUGUGAAGGAGGUCGGACAGCAUUCAGCUUCAACCACACAAAAACCAGAGAGCCUGCUCAAAUUCAUCACCCACAGUGCCUUGGCAGUGGCAGCAGGCAGCCCCAGGAGCAGCUGGGUGUUGGAACAACCAACCUGAACAAACGCCUCUAUAAACCCUGGCAUUUCUAAACACAAAAGUAAAUAUUUCAGCAGUUGCGAACCAUAAAACUUAACAUGAAACUACAGAUAACAAAUUAAAAAAAAAAAUCCUGGGAUACUAAGUGAAGAUAAAAUCUCAUGCUGUUUUGUUUCCCCACCCUUCAUCUUAAUUAUGAGAAAUUGGCAACUUCAGUGCCUCGACUGCACAAUAGCACAGACGAGGUGCCAAGUUCAGGCCAAAACUUGUCAUAGGGUUUCAGGUUGCAUCUUGUAGCAAUUUCCUCCUUAAAACAAAAACAUACACUUAGAAAGGAACUUGGCAGAGCCAUCUGGGAUCUAUUUGACAGACACCUUUCAAAAAGAAAAAGGCUACACAACACAACUGCAGCAGGGAUUGUGAGAUGUCAGCUGCGUUUCACUGCCUUGCAAACAAAAGCCUGCAUGGCCCAACCACGAGAAAUGGGCUCAAUAUUCACCAGCGAGUUCUUUUCUUAAAAGCUCACAGCACCUGUCUGAAAUCUCCACUCUUCCAACAAAACUAAGAAAGACAUGGCCUGACUUUCUUGAUAUUUCCAAAGAGAAAGCGUUGAGGACAACCACUUCUAUGCCAAAGUAAUUAAUUUUGAGCGUGCUUUUAAGUAUGUUAAAAAAUAACACAAAACCCAAAGUGUUUCUGCUUCUUUGCAGAUCACCACUCAAGGGAAAUCCAUGCAAAUGAGUUGCUUUUUUUGUUAACAGUUUGAAACAGUCAACAGCACAAGUUCCCCUUUGCAAAACUGUGCACACAAAAAUGGAAAAAAAACCCACAUGAAAAUACCCCCCCUGCACGAAGAUAUG
Long non-coding RNA from Lagopus muta (rock ptarmigan), 5704 nucleotides. RefSeq lists it as uncharacterized. The record is from RefSeq and is a predicted model, not a curated record. The transcript is spliced from 2 exons. Lineage: Eukaryota; Metazoa; Chordata; Aves; Galliformes; Phasianidae.